Molecule: ribosomal RNA, 328 nt
Filed under: uncultured Streptococcus sp.
Lineage: Bacteria; Bacillati; Bacillota; Bacilli; Lactobacillales; Streptococcaceae
Description: bacterial SSU rRNA
Rfam family: Bacterial small subunit ribosomal RNA
Source: RNAcentral
CGUCAGCUCGUGUCGUGAGAUGUUGGUUAAGUCCCGCAACGAGCGCGAACCCCUAUUGUUAGUUGCCAUCAUUCAGUUGGGCACUCUAGCGAGACUGCCGGUAAUAAACCGGAGGAAGGUGGGGAUGACGUCAAAUCAUCAUGCCCCUUAUGACCUGGGCUACACACGUGCUACAAUGGUUGGUACAACGAGUUGCGAGUCGGUGACGGCGAGCUAAUCUCUUAAAGCCAAUCUCAGUUCGGAUUGUAGGCUGCAACUCGCCUACAUGAAGUCGGAAUCGCUAGUAAUCGCGGAUCAGCACGCCGCGGUGAAUACGUUCCCGGGCCUU